RNAcentral lists this ribosomal RNA (546 nucleotides) under uncultured bacterium. RNAcentral's name for it is "bacterial SSU rRNA". It matches the Rfam family "Bacterial small subunit ribosomal RNA", at positions 355 to 896 of the family's 1533-position model. The record is from RNAcentral.
UGGGGAAUAUUGCGCAAUGGGGGGAACCCUGACGCAGCCAUGCCGCGUGAAUGAAGAAGGCCUUAGGGUUGUAAAGUUCUUUCGGUAUUGAGGAAGGUUGAUGUGUUAAUAGCACAUCAAAUUGACGUUAAAUACAGAAGAAGCACCGGCUAACUCCGUGCCAGCAGCCGCGGUAAUACGGAGGGUGCGAGCGUUAAUCGGAAUAACUGGGCGUAAAGGGCACGCAGGCGGUUAUUUAAGUGAGGUGUGAAAGCCCCGGGCUUAACCUGGGAAUUGCAUUUCAGACUGGGUAACUAGAGUACUUUAGGGAGGGGUAGAAUUCCACGUGUAGCGGUGAAAUGCGUAGAGAUGUGGAGGAAUACCGAAGGCGAAGCNNGCCCCUUGGGAAUGUACUGACGCUCAUGUGCGAAAGCGUGGGGAGCAAACAGGAUUAGAUACCCUGGUAGUCCACGCUGUAAACGCUGUCGAUUUGGGGGUUGNNUUUAACUCUGGCGCCCGUAGCUAACGUGAUAAAUCGACCGCCUGGGGAGUACGGCCGCAAGNUUA